RNAcentral lists this ribosomal RNA (1028 nucleotides) under uncultured Acidobacteriota bacterium. RNAcentral's name for it is "bacterial SSU rRNA". It matches the Rfam family "Bacterial small subunit ribosomal RNA", at positions 8 to 1064 of the family's 1533-position model. Lineage: Bacteria; Pseudomonadati; Acidobacteriota. The record is from RNAcentral.
AGAGUUUGAUCCUGGCUCAGAAUCAACGCUGGCGGCGUGCCUAACACAUGCAAGUCGAACGAGAAAGGGACUUCGGUCCUGAGUAUAGUGGCGCACGGGUGAGUAACACGUGAAUAAUCUACCCUCGAGUGGGGAAUAACCUAGAGAAAUCUGGGCUAAUACCGCAUAACACUUACGAGUCAAAGCAAGCGAUUGCGCUUGGGGAGGAGUUCGCGGCAGAUUAGCUAGUUGGCGGGGUAAUGGCCCACCAAGGCGAUGAUCUGUAUCCGGCCUGAGAGGGCGCACGGACACACUGGAACUGAAACACGGUCCAGACUCCUACGGGAGGCAGCAGUGGGGAAUUUUGCGCAAUGGGGGAAACCCUGACGCAGCAACGCCGCGUGGAGGAUGAAGUAUCUUGGUACGUAAACUCCUUUCGAUGGGGAGGAUAAUGACGGUACCCAUAGAAGAAGCCCCGGCUAACUUCGUGCCAGCAGCCGCGGUAAUACGAGGGGGGCAAGCGUUGUUCGGAUUUAUUGGGCGUAAAGGGUGCGUAGGCGGUUUGAUAAGUCUUAUGUGAAAUCUAUGGGCUCAACCCAUAGUCUGCAUGAGAAACUGUCGGGCUUGAGUAUUGGAGAGGUGAGUGGAAUUUCCGGUGUAGCGGUGAAAUGCGUAGAUAUCGGAAGGAACACCUGUGGCGAAAGCGGCUCACUGGACAAUAACUGACGCUGAGGCACGAAAGCUAGGGGAGCAAACAGGAUUAGAUACCCUGGUAGUCCUAGCCCUAAACGAUGAUUGUUUGAUGUGGCAGGUACCCAAUCCUGCCGUGUCGAAGCUAACGCGAUAAACAAUCCGCCUGGGGAGUACGGUCGCAAGGCUGAAACUCAAAGGAAUUGACGGGGGCCCGCACAAGCGGUGGAGCAUGUGGUUUAAUUCGACGCAACGCGAAGAACCUUACCUGGGCUCGAAAUGCACAAGAAUCCGGCAGAAACGUCGGCGCCUAGCAAUAGGCUUGUGUAUAGGUGCUGCAUGGCUGUCGUCAGCUCGUG